Toxorhynchites rutilus septentrionalis is the source of this 1243-nucleotide long non-coding RNA. RefSeq lists it as uncharacterized. The record is from RefSeq and is a predicted model, not a curated record. The transcript is spliced from 3 exons. Lineage: Eukaryota; Metazoa; Arthropoda; Insecta; Diptera; Culicidae.
CCUCUCGGUUGAUUUACGUUACUAUCAAAAUACACAUUUUAACAAAGAAGUUCAACGAUAUGACAAAAUAUGGCUUUUCGAACGGGAAGCACUAUCAGUUAGCUCAACCUUGAUAAAUACCGAUAAAUUUCUCGGAAAUGCAGAAUAAAUUUUAUUUAUUGUUAAAUACAGAUGUGGUUUUUUUUUCAAAUUAUGCAUUUAACGUAUCCACGUGAACCUAUCCAUACCCCCUCCCCCCUCACCGUGAACAAGUGUGGACAUUUUCGCAACCCUUACCCCCUCUAAAGUUGUCCACGUGGCAUGUGGACAGCCCCUAAUGAGAUUUAUGGGAUUAUUCAAGUAUUCAAAUAUUACGUAACGCACUGAAAAAGGGAGGAGGGGAUGGCUUGUGGAAACUUGUUUAGAAAUAAAUCAGUGUUUUCGGACCGAUUAAGUCAGCGCGCAAAAAAGUUUGUUUCGAUUUCACGGAACAAGGAAAAGAAAACAAAGGCGGAUUGCGUUAAAGCAUUCCAAUAUUCUCGUAAUGGCUGUCAUAAGCGUAACCUUGAAGAGCAAAUAGAAAAGUCCAUGGCCUUGUCGAGGUCCUCUGCGAGUCUGACAGACCAUCCGAGAUCCGCACUCGUGUAAUCACACCAUUCAUCUUCGCCUGAAUAUAUCCGGUCAGCUUCUCGAGUAAACUGUGCUCGUCCAUGAUCUUCCAAAACUGUCGUAAGUUGUGAUUUCGUGCCAUAAUGGGCAAAGACCGACCAAGGUCCGACCAGAAGCCCACAUCCUCCUUCGUGUGAUAUUUCGUGAUGAAGACAGCAACUUCUGGUAGGCACUUUGUACUGUAUAUUUCUCCGUUCACCUCAAGCAUCGAAGAAAAGAACAGCGGCUUGGACAUUCCCUUUUUAUUGAUGGCCAGCCACAGAAGGGCAUUCUAUGGGAACUUGGUGUAGGAGAUAUAUUUUCGAGGCACCUACGGGUGGUUCAAAUCAGACAUCCGUUCGACGCUCUUGCCUUUCCCUAGAAUGGAGAGGUUGUUGUAAAAGCCGGAUCGGCUAUAUCCAGCGAACAUGAAGUGCCUCACGAUGUCCAACUUCUUCCCUUCGCUUUGAACAAACCAUCGAUUGACUGCUCAUCAUGGCUGGUUCAAAUAAACUGAGAGAGCGUCGAAGUAUUGUUUGUAGAAACUUAAAUAAAAGUAGGAUUGAAGAAAGAAAAUUGUGCAUUGACUUAUCGAGCUUGAUUCUCUAAUACACUU